Molecule: ribosomal RNA, 497 nt
Filed under: uncultured bacterium
Lineage: Bacteria
Description: partial 16S ribosomal RNA
Rfam family: Bacterial small subunit ribosomal RNA
Source: RNAcentral
GAUGAACGCUGGCGGCGUGCCUAAUACAUGCAAGUCGAGCGAACAGACGAGGAGCUUGCUCCUUUGACGUUAGCGGCGGACGGGUGAGUAACACGUGGGUAACCUACCUAUAAGACUGGGAUAACUUCGGGAAACCGGAGCUAAUACCGGAUAAUAUUUCGAACCGCAUGGUUCGAUAGUGAAAGAUGGCUUUGCUAUCACUUAUAGAUGGACCUGCGCCGUAUUAGCUAGUUGGUAAGGUAACGGCUUACCAAGGCAACGAUACGUAGCCGACCUGAGAGGGUGAUCGGCCACACUGGAACUGAGACACGGUCCAGACUCCUACAGGAGGCAGCAGUAGGGAAUCUUCCGCAAUGGGCGAAAGCCUGACGGAGCAACGCCGCGUGAGUGAUGAAGGUCUUCGGAUCGUAAAACUCUGUUAUUAGGGAAGAACAAACGUGUAAGUAACUGUGCACGUCUUGACGGUACCUAAUCAGAAAGCCACGGCUAACUACGUG